AAAAUAAUGAAACUGUAUGGUGCAGAAAGUGAUUUUUUUCAUUGCAGUUUCUGCUGCUGGGAAUGCGGUAGAUCACUAUGGCUUCUGUACCGUGUGGCUGCAUUCCGUAUCGGUGACGUUUGAUAGUUCAUCAAAUAGUAGCGCUGUUCUUUGGUCAAUUUGGUCACCUGUCAGCUGCGCUACUGUUUUAGCAGCGCGUUUAGUAGCGACCGGUAAAGUGUCAAGUAAUGAUACUGCGCUGACAAACGGUUUAUACUCACCACCGAACUGAAGCUUAUGAUAAAUAAAAUACUGCUGCUUGCUGGUCACUGAUUGAAGAUCGUUCAGUGGCUACCAUUGGCCAAUCUCACCAACGGGAUAUAAUAAGAACUGAUGCAGGUUUAUAUCUAUAUGUAUUGUCUAUUCGGAACAAAGUUAGUACGCUUUUUAAACCGAUGUUGGAUUUUUCUCCAGAUACAGGCAACCCACUUAACGUUGGAAGUAGUGCGCUCUUAAAUUAUUUCACAGAUUUCGGUGAAUUUUGCUUCAAUUCACCGAAAUCUCAACAGCAGAUUUGUUCGGUAAUUAUUUCACCGAUUUUCUGCGGUAUUUUCCUUUGUUCAACUGUCAAAACUACCAAAAAAUCUGUAAAAUUUUUACCGAACAGUUCUGCUGUUGAGAUUUCGGUGAAAUUUCACAGAAAUCUGCGAUUUAUUUUAAGUUUGAUGGAUUCGUCUAAAGAUAUGCUAAACAAUCGGAGGAAAAUAAAAUAAUUUGUAAAACAAUUAAUUGUAUUGUAUUUUUAUUGUAAUAUUGGAGUAUAAUGUAUUCUAAAUCCUGUUGUAUUUCUAUUGUAAAACAAUAGAAACAGUAAUUGAAAACAUUUAAAACACAAUGUUUUCUAUUGUUUUGUCGCUCGAAAUCAUCCCAUUGAAGAACCGUAAAAUCAAUUGUUUUGCUCCGAAUUUUGUAUGGAAAAUUUUCGAUUUUUUUAUUGUAAAGAUACAUAACAACCCCCCUUUUUAAUUGUAAAAGUCCCAUUUACCAUUCAUUUUAUCGUGGAAAACCAUUAUUUCUCAUGUGAUUUUAUUGUCAAA
Molecule: long non-coding RNA, 1076 nt
Organism: Armigeres subalbatus
Lineage: Eukaryota; Metazoa; Arthropoda; Insecta; Diptera; Culicidae
Exons: 4
Source: RefSeq, a predicted model, not a curated record